GGGCGGGCGGGAGGCCGGGCUGCGGCGGCCCUCAGACGCAUCGGCCGGCACCCGGCGGGCUCGCGGCCGCCUUUCGCUUACAGGGCUCGCCGACCUCGUUGAGCAGCGGUCGCCGGGUGAGGACGGGCGCCUUCGGCCCGUGUCUGGCAGUGCCCCGGCCCCGGCGACACAGACCGACGGGCUGCACCCACUAACUAGCAUGCUGACCUGAUGGCUAGUUAGUGGGGAGAAGAUAAAGGGACAGAGCCCCAUUCCAAGCUCACCUUUCUUUAAAGGACACCUUCCAGAAGUUGCAAAUAGACGUUCACUCACAUCCCAUGAAAAGGUGGGAAUCUCAACUUUUUUUUUCCCAGGUAGAUACAUUUCCAGCUAAAAGAAAGGGGGGAAAGUCCAGCAGUUUCUGCUGAUAAUGCUAUGUAGAUAGCUAUAGUGCAAGGCUUGUUGCUACAAGCACUUAUGUGUUUUCUUUUUUUCUUUUUCUUUCUUUCACUGCCCAUGGCAUGUGGAAGUUCCCAGGCCAGGGAUCGAACCCAAGCUGCUGCGGUGACGGCACUAGAUCCUUAACCUGCUGGGCCACGAAGGAAUUCCUAAGCACUGAUUUCUUCAUCUCGGAAAGACAAUGUGGUCUGGUUCUGGGCAUGUUGAGUAUGAGGUGACUCCAUGACAUCUGGUCGGGCACAUCACACAGUUACCUGGAAACUGCAUCUGGACCAGGGAUGUAGGGACGGAAGGACGGGAACCUUGGAGUCUGCUGCAGAGGUGAGAGCAGCGCGAGAGGCCAGGGAGGGUAAGACAGGCAUGUCAGACAGCGUAGAGGAGGGAGAUAGGAGGGCAGGCAUCCUGGGAGACCUGUGAGCGGCGGGCAGAGUAAGAAAAUCAGUGAAGGGCAAAGACUGGAGAGGAGAAGCAGCAGGUUUGUGUUCCUGCAGGAGCCAAGGGAAGCUUGGCUUCAGGAAGGAGAGGUCAAUAGUGUCGAAUCACAAUUCCCGGCCGGAAGUGAUGAAGACAGAGAAAGCUAUUGAGAACAGCAGCUGGCUGCAGACAGGUGAGGUCACCAGGGGCAGCCUUUGUCAGGUGGCCUUGGCUGGUUGGGUGAAUUAGGAGGCAGGGUGAUGUGCCGGGGACCGGAGUGGGGGCUGGGGGAGAAUGGAAGUGCUCUGUCUCUCCCGUGAGCUCCUGGGGUGCAGGGGCCAUGUCUCCUUCACUGGUAUACCGUGGUGCCUAAAUAAUGCACGGGACUUGAUUUUCUGACGGCUGGGUGAAUGACCUGCAGAAUGAAUAAAUGAAUUUGGUGGGAAGUAAUGAGAAUGGAAUUGAAAAAUGGUGGUGCAGCAGCGAAAGCCCAGCCGGGAGUCCAUAGCUUCAUGGUACUUCCCAGGCCAGUAAUCUGAACAGAGAAGGAAAAGUAGCUGUUUCCUUGGCUGAGAUUGGCAGGUGAGAGAAACGGGGAGGGGGUGGGGGGGUAUGGUAAGAACAAAGAACCAGGAGACUAGAGGAACAGACCAAGACUUUUUGAAACAUCUGACCAGUGGAUCCUGAUGGGGGUGGAGGGUGGGGGGAAUGAGAGGAGCAGAAGUGCCUGAGAGGAUGAGUUAGUUUAUGGUCUUGGGAGGUGGGGCCCAGGCUUCAGUACUUCUGGAGUCAACUCAAGUCACUUCAAAGAACAGCCAAGGUUGGGUUGGAGGGGGCUGGAGGGAAGACUAAUGGGGUGGCAGGCUGGGGCUGUCAGAGUUCAGAAUCUUGACCCUCGAGCAGCUCCAGGUCAUGAGGCUAAUUUCAUGAUGGUGAUUGAGGUGGAGUGGAAGUAAGAGUAACUGGAAUUGAUGAGAUUGAGCUUCAGGAACUGUAGGCUCAUCGGAUUCAAAUGCCUUUGGCUACAUCAGGAGAGAUUUUGCACUAAAGGAAAAACCAAGAGUCAACCAGAAAGGGCUCUGGUCAGGUACGACAUGUAAGAAGGGCCUAAGUCUCGAUUCAUCCAGCAGUCACUAAGGCACGAGGCCAGUUGUUUAGUAUCUGUCAUCUCACUUGUUCUGAUGUCCACUCUCCUGGCAGGUGAGGACAGCUGACAGCUGAAGUCGGGUCAAAUGGCAGAUUUGGCUGGAAGGGCCGAUGUUCAGAUAAAUCAGCCAAAGUUUUGACGAGCUUCACAUUAAGCUAUGACUUGUUCUUCUGCCAACCCAUUGUCCCAUAGCCAGCCAUCCUGGUGCGUGUGUGCACGUAUAUAUUUAUAAUGUGUAUAAUCGUAGCCUACACUUAAGGGCAAAAGUAAGUAUUCUUUUAAUACCGUAAGAGAAAAGUUUUAGUUAACGGCAGUGUGCCUUCUUUUUGUUCUUGUUUCCCGACGUUAUUCUUCUGAACUGCCUGGAGUUCUGGGGGCAGAGGAGCAGGUUUGAGAGGGAGGGACGGAACAGAAUUUCACAUAAAUUUCGUUUCCUGUAGAUGACGGUGUGCAUUUAUCUCUUAGGUUUGACAAGGCUGAGGAGUUGCCUGGUGGCACAGUGAGUUAAAGUCGUUUGCAGUGCUCCUCAGUGCAGGUGAGAGCGGAAAUGAUUAUGGUAAUGGGACUAAAUCGAACCACUGUUUUCAUACCCACAUUUCGUUUUCUUCCCUUAAUGAAGAAGGCCUCAGAACGUCAGUGUGUUGCGUGGGGUUUCAGGUCAGGAUUCUGGUGCCUGAACCCUACCGGUUCCUGCUUUGUGGUCCUUCCCAGGAGGCUGUAACCACAAGGAGGAUGAGCCCGCGGAAAAGAGAGCAGCGCCCACGUGCUUGAAGAGCAUCCUGGCUGUGCCUUCUCAGGUCAGCGGCGCUUGAACGACUUAGGUUCUGUCAUGCCAUCCCCUCCCUUUCGCAGAGAAAGCCUGGCCCAGGAACCUCAGCUGGAAGAGCGGAGGACGGGCCUGCUCCAGUGGGGCAGGAGUAACGAAGGGCUCAGGGUUUCGGACCUGUUCACACGGCAGCCCUGUUCAUUUGUGAAAAUACAGCCCAGUAAAUAUCUUGGGCUCCCUUCCAUCUGGUUAGUAACCCUUCUCCUUUAGGAGGGGUGCCGGGGAAGGAGGGGUGAGGAGGAAGGCGGCAGGUGGGGUAAGAACGGCGUGGUGCCACACAGUGGGGGGGGGCACGUUGUGGUUCUAUGGCCAUUUCUGUGCUGUGCUACCUUUAAACUGCAUAAAUUUUAAUUGUCAUACUUCAAAAAAAAAAAAAUUUACAAGGUGUCAGGCAUGUUGAAGGCACAUCUUGGGCUUUCCAGAUCUGCCAGCUGAGCACUGAGUGACCUCAUGUGCUGCCAGGUAGAGGCCAAGGCACCCAGCCAAGCCCUGACCUGCCGACAGGAGGGCAGGUAAUAGACAGUGGUUGUCCUGGAGCACUGUCUUGGGGCAGCUUGCUAUGCAGUCAUAACUGGGAGGAACCAAUACCACCCACCCCUGAACCUGAAACAGUCUUGCCUUCCUCAGUGUUCAGUAUUUAUCGAUAACCUUUUCUGUUUCAGAACCUUCUCCAAUUUUUAAGUUCACAUUUCAUAGUUUGAGACAUUCCAUAUCUUGGCUAAAACACUAACCUGCUCAGAAAAGUUAAUUACAGGUCAUUCUGUUGAUCCUGCUUCUGGGAAGCACUUUAAAACUGUGUAACAGUGAGAAGACCUGAAUUUUACAUUUCAGUCAGGUGCCUGGGUACAUCAGCGUCAGUCCUAACUGAACACUUUUAGUAAAAUGCAGGUGGUGAUGGUGACCAGGAGUUGUCACUGCUUGAGACUGAACCGAAUGAGCACCUGCGUGUAUUUCAGAAACAGCAUUGAAACUUUAUGAUUGUUCUCUUGUAAUUUGCUGUUUCUAAGUGGAACCCCUUGAAUCUGUCGCAGUUGCUCAAAGCUUUCUUUAGUAUGUCUUUACAGGCUUUCCUCCAUUUUUUCCUUUUAAAACCCUUUUAUCCUCUGGACAGUCAAGCACGGCCUACAGUCUGACGGCCUUGUCCCAAGGACCCAUGGUCCCCAUGAGACAUUUCUGCAGGUCUUGAUAGGUAUAACCGAGUUUCUCUAAGCACUUGGUUUGUUUUUAACUUAGGGCAGAGCACUGAACACAGAGCUGAUUUUUGUGUUAGAUGCUAGGAAGCUCAGGGCCUGCCUUUUAUUAACUGUUAGUUUUCUCUUUUCUUCCAUCUUCAUUUUCCUUUCCUUAAUCUCCUCACUUAAGAAGAAAAACAAAAAAAACCAAACUAGCUUUGUAGGUUUUUGUUUUGUUUUGUUUUUUCCGGUAAGCUGUCUUAAAAGCAUUUUGGAAAUCCUUCAGUAUCUUAAGAUAUUCUGAAGGCCCUUAUUUCAUUAGCAUACUGUAUCAGCACUUUGUUAUAGUACUUUUCAGUUGAGAAGUCAAGGUACUUCUGAUAGCUAUUAAGCCUUAAAACAGUCCCAGUAAGUGAUCUGAGGUUAGUGACAAAAGCCAAAGUCACUAAACCUGUUUCUCAACAGUUGCUUUACUGUAAAAAAAAAAAAAAAAAGACAAAUAAUUCAUUAUUCAAAUGGACAUUUUUUGUGGGAGGCCGGGAGCACUAGGAGACUGCCUUCUGACCUUACUAUAACUACACUGAUGCCAUACUUCGUUUUGAAGAUUUAAGAUCAUUUGUGAAGAUCACAUUUGCGAUGAAGCUAUACAUCAUACUGGUUUUAACUCCUUACAGUAACCUGUGUGUGUCUUUCAGGCCUGCACUCACGGCAUAUGGAAGCUCCCAGGCUAGGGGCUGAAUCAGAGCAGUAGCUGCCAGCCUACCCACAGCCACAGCCACUAGUGGAUCCUUACCCCACUGAGCAAGACCAGGGAUUGAACCCACAUCCUCAUGGAUACUAGUCAGAUUCAUUACUGCUGAGCCAGAAUGGGAACCCUAAUUCCUUACAGGAAAUUUUGUUAAGAGGUGACUUGAAAUGAUUUUUAGUUGAAGCGUUUAUUUCACUGAAUAAGGCAAGUAUUUUACAUUUGUUAAUAACUCUUUCAAAUUAUUUAAGUGGCUUACAAAAAUAUAUAUAAAAUCAAAAUCUACAAUGGAUACAAAAAAGAAUGUGUUAAAAUGUAAUUAACAGAGUCGACCACUGAACACAGGUUAGAAUGGGCAGGUCCAUGUAUUCAGACUUUUUCGAUGAAUCCACACUAAAGAGCUGCCUGGUCCACAGGCAGCUGGUUGAAUCCGCAAAUGCAGGCCAUGGAUACUCAGGGCCUGCUGUCCAGUACCCCGUGUUGGUCAAGGGCCAACCGUACUCAAGACACAGACUGUGAGCAGGCUUAGCAGGAGCUGGAUUCACACCGAGGUUCUAUGUCCUCGUCACUGCUCUCCAUUCAGAAAGCUCUAAUCUGCUCUUGUGGGAAAGAUCGGGACGUAAGUGCAGUUUUGAAAUACCAAAUAAUUCACCGUAUUCUGGCAGUUGUGAGUCAGGAACCAGGACGAAAGUUUUAACUGGUCAAAAGCUGACCCACGCAUUGAGUCUGAGAAAAACUGGGCAAGUCCUCAACUGCACAAAGCACCACCCUAAUGGAAGGACAACUGAACCGUGAGAGUUUUAUAGUAGCGUGAGCCAAACAAAUGCUCCAACAAUGGCUCCUUCUGGAAGAAUGUGUAAAAGGUAAAUUAACUAUUACUUCUCCUUGUUUUGAUAUUUAAUUCCCCCAGAGCAGAUCCUUACUUUACCCAGAGGGCAAAGCUUAAUAUUCUUGGGAUAAAAAGCUUUUCCACGAAAGAGCACAGAUAUGGAUGCUUCCCCAAGUCCAGCCAGGAAUGUCAUUGUUACUUUUUACUAGGCUGCUUAUGAUCCCAAGCACUAAACACAAAC
Molecule: non-coding RNA, 5812 nt
Organism: Sus scrofa (pig)
Lineage: Eukaryota; Metazoa; Chordata; Mammalia; Artiodactyla; Suidae
Source: RefSeq, a predicted model, not a curated record